GCGAAACGGAAAUAACACGGUAUAACAUGGACUCCAAACUCAUUUUAAUUUUCUUGGCUAUCGUGACACUUUGCACUGUUGUUAUAGCCUACGACAAAGAGAAGUGCGAUGCUCCCCCUAGCGUAAAAGGUAGGUGCAGGGCCUAUAUACCAAGCUGGGUCUUUAAGAAUAAAAUAUGUGAGCGAAUUAUAUAUGGCGGAUGCGAUGCCACAGCCAACAUAUUUAGUACAAUAGAAGCAUGCAAGACAGCUUGCCAAAACUAGCACUUAACGAAAAUAAAAAGGAAUUAAAAUUCUAAAAUUAACAACAAAACUUGUAAAAAUAAAUCAGAUUUCUAAACGCAGAAAA
This is a long non-coding RNA of Drosophila rhopaloa, 348 nucleotides long. RefSeq lists it as uncharacterized. Lineage: Eukaryota; Metazoa; Arthropoda; Insecta; Diptera; Drosophilidae. The record is from RefSeq and is a predicted model, not a curated record. The transcript is spliced from 2 exons.